Molecule: small nuclear RNA, 100 nt
Filed under: Octodon degus (degu)
Lineage: Eukaryota; Metazoa; Chordata; Mammalia; Rodentia; Octodontidae
Source: RNAcentral
GUCCCUGGUUCUGGAAUUCAGAGUAAAAUUAGAAGCAUGUCAAGAUUAGCAUGGCCCCUGCAUAAGGAAGACAUGAAUCUGUCAUGCAUUCCAUAUUUUU